UGCCACUCGCCGUCGUUGCACC
RNAcentral lists this non-coding RNA (22 nucleotides) under Arabidopsis thaliana (thale cress). Lineage: Eukaryota; Viridiplantae; Streptophyta; Magnoliopsida; Brassicales; Brassicaceae. The record is from RNAcentral.